RNAcentral lists this ribosomal RNA (520 nucleotides) under uncultured bacterium. Its description in RNAcentral is "bacterial SSU rRNA". It matches the Rfam family "Bacterial small subunit ribosomal RNA", at positions 774 to 1285 of the family's 1533-position model. The record is from RNAcentral.
AGUCAAUAGAUACCCUGGUAGUCCACGCCCUAAACGAUGUAUGCUGAAUCGGAGCGGCUCUGACGCCGUUCGGAUUGGAGAGAAAUUGUUAAGCAUACCGCCUGGGGAGUACGGUCGCAAGGCUAAAACUCAAAGGAAUUGACGGGGGCUCACACAAGCGGUGGAGCAUGUGGCUCAAUUCGAAGCAACGCGCAGAACCUUACCUGGGUUUGACAUGGUCGGAUUAACUCCUGGAAACAGGAGCCAGGCCCGCAAGGGUACAACGAUCACAGGUGCUGCAUGGCUGUCGUCAGCUCGUGCUGUGAAGCGUCGGGUUAAGUCCCUUAACGAGCGCAACCCUUGUCGUUAGUUACUAACAGGUAAUGCUGAGGACUCUAGCGAGACUGCCGGUGUCAAACCGGAGGAAGGCGGGGAUGACGUCAAGUCCUCAUGGCCCUUACAUCCAGGGUUGCACACGUGCUACAAUGGUGCAUACAAAGCGAAGCAAGACCGCGAGGUGGAGCAAAUCGCAAAAAAUGCA